UCCCUGGCGGCUGAGAUAGUAAAGAAUCUGCCUGCAAUGCAGGAGACCCAGGUUUGAUCCCUGGGUGGGGAA
RNAcentral lists this transfer RNA (72 nucleotides) under Bos taurus (domestic cattle). It matches the Rfam family "tRNA". Rfam says of the family: Transfer RNA (tRNA) molecules are approximately 80 nucleotides in length. Their secondary structure includes four short double-helical elements and three loops (D, anti-codon, and T loops). The record is from Rfam by way of RNAcentral. Lineage: Eukaryota; Metazoa; Chordata; Mammalia; Artiodactyla; Bovidae. RNAcentral also lists the same sequence under 2 other names.